This 581-nucleotide long non-coding RNA is filed under the name Coturnix japonica (Japanese quail). RNAcentral describes it as "lncRNA (ENSCJPG00005015621.1)". Lineage: Eukaryota; Metazoa; Chordata; Aves; Galliformes; Phasianidae. The record is from RNAcentral.
UCUGACAGGACUUGUAAGUUCUCCCAUUAUUCUUUGUUUCAGCUUGGAAAACAAGUAGAGCAAAUGGAAGAUACUCUGUUUGAAUUGCAGGAUUAUUCCUGAAAGGAUUCCUGAUGACUCCAGGCCUACUGCAGCUCCCUUAGUUGCCUGCCAGUAUGAACUAAAAGCUCCUCAGGAAGAAAAGGUCUCUUGGAUGUAUUACUCUGUCCACUGCUGGCUCCCUGAGCCAUCUCCUAUGAGAUGUGAACACCUUGUUGUCGCUAUGGACUUCACUGCCACGGACAGGAUCCAAAGUAUUGGUUAGCAAUAGGCAGGCAACUGAAACUGAAGGUAAGCAAAGAAUCAGGGCUCUUGCUUGAGUACAGCUUUGACAGAGUUCACAGAUGUAGAAGUUGCUUAAACUGUUUGAAGUAGGUCAUUCAAAAGUGCCUCAGAAAGAGGCAAGUCACCAGUUUCUCCCCCUGUUACAGAGUGAUACAGAGAAUGAGAACUACAUUUGGUCCACCAGCAAUUUGUAACUCCUAUACAGAACAGGGUAUGCUAAUAACAUGUCAACUUUCAUUACAGCAAAAUAAGCCUAA